Long non-coding RNA from Astatotilapia calliptera (eastern happy), 976 nucleotides. The record is from Ensembl. NCBI's taxonomy places the organism in Eukaryota, Metazoa, Chordata, Actinopteri, Cichliformes, Cichlidae.
GGUUCCUAUCUUCUUCCUGCAUUGUCAUGUGUUGGAUCAGUGUGUGUUGUGGUUCUACUGGUGUUACUGGUUCUGAUGGUGAGACGAUCUGUUCACAGGAGACCUGAAGCAGUGAGAACUGAAGACGUCAGUUAUGGACAAAUCAUCAUCAACGACAAGAAAAACAGAUCAAAGCCGAGAGACUUUAAACCAGAGCCAGACGGCAUCUACUCUUUACUGAAGUAGUCCACCAGUCCAACCACUGACGUCCAGCUGCUGGUCUCUAACUGGUCCUCCCAGCACCUCAGACCAGAGGACAUCCACAUGUUCAAAAUAUUUUUUAACAUAUUUUAUUUGUUUUUCUCACUUAUUUAGACUCAUAUUAUUUAAAAAAAAAAAAAAGCUGUGGCAAGCGAGAGCACAUAUCCCCUAUACUCGCCUCACACUGGCUGCCGAUACGUUUCUGAAUUGAUUUUAAGAUCUUGACGCUGGUUUUUAAAACAUUGCAUGCACUAGCCCCUAUAUAUCUUUCUGAUUUUCUAAGUUGGUAUACUCCGGUGAGAUCUUUGAGGUUUGCGGACCAAAUGCUUCUAGCUGUCCCCAGGUCUAGGUUAAAACACAGAGGAGAUCGGGCUUUUACUGUGACUGCGCCGAAACUGUGGAAUAAACUGCCUUCACAUAUCAGGACCUCUCCAACACUGGAUACUUUUAAAACUCAUCUAAUGACCCAUUUUUACUCCUUGGCUUUUAAGUCGGUAUGAGUCUGUCAUUAUUUUAUUCUUAUUAUUUUCUUAUCUUGGUUUUACUUUCCUUUUAAAUUUUAUCUGAUUAUUCUUUUGUACAGUUGUUUUUUUUAAAGUGCUAUAUAAAUAAAAUUGAUUUGAAAAAUAAAUAAAUUAAAAACACAUAUCUUACUGACUUUUUCUGCCAUGGUUAUGCCAGAUUAAUAAAGUUUUGUUUUCAUUUCUUUUCCUCGUGUGGUUCUGUUGGUUUCACU